CCUACGGGUGGCAGCAGUAGGGAAUCUUCCACAAUGGACGAAAGUCUGAUGGAGCAACGCCGCGUGAGGGAAGAAGGGUUUCGGCUCGUAAAGCUCUGUUGGUAGUGAAGAAAGAUAGAGGUAGUAACUGGCCUUUAUUUGACGGUAAUUACUUAGAAAGUCACGUCUAACUACGUGCCAGCAGCCGCGGUAAUACGUAGGUGGCAAGCGUUGUCCGGAUUUAUUGGGCGUAAAGCGAGUGCAGGCGGUUCAAUAAGUCUGAUGGGAAAGCCUUCGGCUCAACCGGAGAAUUGCAUCAGAAACUGUUGAACGUGAGUGCAGAAGAGGAGAGUGGAAGUCCAUGUGUAGCGGUGGAAUGCGUAGAUAUAUGGAAGAACACCAGUGGCGAAGGCGGCUCUCUGGUCUGCAACUGACGCUGAGGCUCGAAAGCAUGGGUAGCGAACAGGAUUAGAUACCCCGGUAGUC
This 465-nucleotide ribosomal RNA is filed under the name uncultured bacterium. Its description in RNAcentral is "partial 16S ribosomal RNA". It matches the Rfam family "Bacterial small subunit ribosomal RNA", at positions 338 to 795 of the family's 1533-position model. The record is from RNAcentral.